AUUGAACGCUGGCGGCAUGGCUAAAACAUGCAAGUCGAACGAGAACCUCGCAAGAGGGGGACAGUGGCGGAAGGGUCAGUAACACGAUCGAAUGUACCCCGAGGUGGGGGAUAGGUCGGGGAAACCCGGCGUAAUACCUCAUGUGCUCUACGGAGCAAAGAUUUAUCGCCUUGGGAGCAGCGGUCGCCCUGUCAGGUAGUUGGCGGAGUAAAAGCCCACCAAGCCGAAGACGGGUAGCGGGUGUGAGAGCACGGCCCGCGACAUCGGGACUGAGACACUGCCCGGACUCCUACGGGAGGCUGCAGUAACGAAUAUUCGCAAUGGGCGCAAGCCUGACGGAGCAAUGCCGCGUGCGGGAUGAAGCGGCUUCGCCGUGUAAACCGCUGUCGGGGAGCAGAAACACUGAUCGCUCCCAAAGGAAGAGACG
This 427-nucleotide ribosomal RNA is filed under the name uncultured bacterium. Its description in RNAcentral is "bacterial SSU rRNA". It matches the Rfam family "Bacterial small subunit ribosomal RNA", at positions 29 to 495 of the family's 1533-position model. The record is from RNAcentral.